GUGCAGAAGAGGAGAGUGGAAUUCCACGUGUAGCGGUGAAAUGCGUAGAGAUGUGGAGGAACACCAGUGGCGAAGGCGACUCUCUGGUCUGUAACUGACGCUGAGGAGCGAAAGCGUGGGGAGCGAACAGGAUUAGAUACCCUGGUAGUCCACGCCGUAAACGAUGAGUGCUAAGUGUUAGGGGGUUUCCGCCCCUUAGUGCUGCANNUAACGCAUUAAGCACUCCGCCUGGGGAGUACGGUCGCAAGACUGAAACUCAAAGGAAUUGACGGGGGCCCGCACAAGCGGUGGAGCAUGUGGUUUAAUUCGAAGCAACGCGAAGAACCUUACCAGGUCUUGACAUCCUCUGACAAUCCUAGAGAUAGGACGUCCCCUUCGGGGGCAGAGUGACAGGUGGUGCAUGGUUNUCGUCAGCUCGUGUCGUGAGAUGUUGGGUUAAGUCCCGCAACGAGCGCAACCCUUGAUCUUAGUUGCCAGCAUUCAGUUGGGCACUCUAAGGUGACUGCCGGUGACAAACCGGAGGAAGGUGGGGAUGACGUCAAAUCAUCAUGCCCCUUAUGACCUGGGCUACACANNUGCUACAAUGGACAGAACAAAGGGCANNNAAACCGCGAGGUUAAGCCAAUCCCACAAAUCUGUUCUCAGUUCGGAUCGCAGUCUGCAAC
Molecule: ribosomal RNA, 665 nt
Filed under: Bacillus velezensis
Lineage: Bacteria; Bacillati; Bacillota; Bacilli; Caryophanales; Bacillaceae
Description: bacterial SSU rRNA
Rfam family: Bacterial small subunit ribosomal RNA
Source: RNAcentral